GAGUCAUUGGGACUCUGAUAAACCUAAAGGCGCAAUGAAAGUAAAGGUCAGCCUCGCGCAGACCGAGGGAGGAUGGGCCCGUUUACGGGCGGGCCUCGCACUCCCGGGGCGUCUCGUUCUCAUCGCGAGAGGAGGCGCACCCAGAGCGUAUACGCUGGGACCCGAAAGAUGGUGAACUAUGCCUGGUCAGGACGAAGUCAGGGGAAACCCUGAUGGAGGUCCGUAGCGAUUCUGACGUGCAAAUCGAUCGUCGGAACUGGGUAUAGGGGCGAAAGACUAAUCGAACCUUCUAGUAGCUGGUUCCCUCCGAAGUUUCCCUCAGGAUAGCUGGCGCUCGCCUUUGCGAGUCUCAUUCGGUAAAGCGAAUGAUUAGAGGCAUUGGGGUCGAAACGGCCUCAACCUAUUCUCAAACUUUAAAUGGGUGAGAUCUCCGGCUUGCUUAAAGCAUGAAGCCGCGAGAUAUCGGAUCAGAGUGCCAAGUGGGCCACUUUUGGUAAGCAGAACUGGCGCUGUGGGAUGAACCAAACGCAGAGUUAAAGCGCCAAAAUCGACGCUUAUGGGAUACCAUGAAAGGCGUUGGUAA
This 583-nucleotide ribosomal RNA is filed under the name Lepanus sp. NQ5. RNAcentral's name for it is "partial large subunit ribosomal RNA". It matches the Rfam family "Eukaryotic large subunit ribosomal RNA", at positions 688 to 1230 of the family's 3401-position model. The record is from RNAcentral. RNAcentral also lists the same sequence under 1 other name. Lineage: Eukaryota; Metazoa; Arthropoda; Insecta; Coleoptera; Scarabaeidae.